CUGUCUGUGUGUCAGUGUGUGCGUAUGUCCUCACGAUAGGCGUGAUGGACUUAUUCUCCUGUCUUCUCGCUGUGUCAAACUGAGAACCUGCUGCCAGCAGUGAGACGAGCCACGCAUACAGUUCAUCGUACUUCA
Molecule: long non-coding RNA, 135 nt
Organism: Thalassophryne amazonica
Lineage: Eukaryota; Metazoa; Chordata; Actinopteri; Batrachoidiformes; Batrachoididae
Exons: 3
Source: RefSeq, a predicted model, not a curated record